This 301-nucleotide ribosomal RNA is filed under the name uncultured bacterium. RNAcentral describes it as "partial 16S ribosomal RNA". It matches the Rfam family "Bacterial small subunit ribosomal RNA", at positions 512 to 808 of the family's 1533-position model. The record is from RNAcentral.
CAGCCGCACGGGAAUACAGAGGGUGCGAGCGUUAAUCGGAUUUACUGGGCGUAAAGCGUGCGUAGGCGGCUUUUUAAGUCGGAUGUGAAAUCCCUGAGCUUAACUUAGGAAUUGCAUUCGAUACUGGGAAGCUAGAGUAUGGGAGAGGAUGGUAGAAUUCCAGGUGUAGCGGUGAAAUGCGUAGAGAUCUGGAGGAAUACCGAUGGCGAAGGCAGCCAUCUGGCCUAAUACUGACGCUGAGGUACGAAAGCAUGGGGAGCAAACAGGAUUAGAUACCCCUGUAGUCCCUGUCUCUUAUACA